Ctenopharyngodon idella (grass carp) is the source of this 1437-nucleotide long non-coding RNA. RefSeq lists it as uncharacterized. The transcript has 4 exons. The record is from RefSeq and is a predicted model, not a curated record. NCBI's taxonomy places the organism in Eukaryota, Metazoa, Chordata, Actinopteri, Cypriniformes, Xenocyprididae.
UGUGUUGCACAAAUCCUAUUAAAUCUCAGAAAACAUAGCUUUUUAAAACAAAAGCACAACUGUUUUAAAACUUAAAUUAGAAUAGUUUUUUGGUGAAUUCUGUCUUCUCAGAUAAGUAAACACAAUAAAACCACAUUAGUAUGUAGUAUGAAAGCAUAUGAGUAGCAAUAUUUAAUUUGAAAUGUAAUGUGGUAAAAUGGCAAUGUAUUUCUGUAUUUAAAUGGACAUUUUCCAUACCACUAGCAUACAUUCAGACAAAAUUCAAGUAUGUAAUGAAGGCAGAUCCUAUGGCCACGUUCACACUGUCAGUUUUUGGGAUUGACAACCACAUUUACUUACAGGUGUGAGUCUUGAAAUGUCUCGUUCACACAGCAACUUACAGUAACGUCUGGAACACUGUCUGUAUGAACGUGCAACGAGACUCAAGCCCGUAUUCUCUUACUAGUAACCAUAACGACAGUGACCAACGUAAUAUUAAAGAUGGCGACGUCCAUAAAACUGAAAAGUAUUAUCACUUUUGACAUGACAGGAGACUAACUGAACGGCGAGUUCAUCCAUUUAAACUUUAUUAACCAACAGCAGCAUGUAAACGCGCUGGCCAGAGUCUAGCACACGUGUCUUUGCACACGCAUGUCAUGUUCUUUGCGACGUCUCGCGCAUGACACGGCAUUUGAAUUUGGAAAAGAAACACAAAACUGCUCCGGUGGAGAACAGUGACUGGAUCCAGCACCUUCAGAUGACACACAGCUCACAUCUUUGUCGCACAGAUCCAGUUUGACAUAUUGCAGUUGCAGAUCAUACAGUUUGCAGCAUGAGAUGAGAGAUGACACUAACAGAAGACACUGACACAUUUUGACCAUAAAGGACCAAUGGUGUAUGCUUGGAGACGAGGUUUGUGAGGUCUUCCAAGUUUCCAUGUUUUACAAAGAUUUUGAGCCGAUGGGUACCUGUUUUUUAAUUUCCUGUCAAGGACCAUGCUGGGAUUCCUCACAAAUUCAAUAAGAGCAAAAUAACCCUGUGUGAUAAACAUCAAAGCUGCCACAUUUAAAAAGGAAGGACCAUAUGAUGAAAGCACAGGGUAGGUUUGCAUGCCUCAACAACAAUGAAAAGAGCAUUUUUGUUGUGCAGUUUGAUUAUAUGAAGUAGAUAGUAGUAAGUAUUAUUAACUUCCACUACUGAGUAAUGUUGCACAGAUGACCUGCAAUUGCAAUUGAUGUUUUUCUCUCAUAUAUAUAUAUAUAUACACACACACACACACACACACACACAUACUCACCGGCCACUUUAUUAGUUACUAGAGCUGUCAAUCGAUUAAAAAAAAGAAAAAAAAACAGAUUAAUCACACAUUUUUUCUGUGAUUAAUCGCGAUUAAUUGCAAUUAAAAACACUUACGUUUUUAUGUUUUUAAUAUAUUUUAUAAUGUAAUAUUUAUUUAUU